AUCCUGGCUCAGAUUGAACGCUGGCGGCAGGCCUAACACAUGCAAGUCGAGCGGUAACAGAAAGUAGCUUGCUCCUUUGCUGACGAGCGGCGGACGGGUGAGUAAUGCUUGGGAACAUGCCUUGAGGUGGGGGACAACAGUUGGAAACGACUGCUAAUACCGCAUAAUGUCUACGGACCAAAGGGGGCUUCGGCUCUCGCCUUUAGAUUGGCCCAAGUGGGAUUAGCUAGUUGGUGAGGUAAUGGCUCACCAAGGCAACGAUCCCUAGCUGGUUUGAGAGGAUGAUCAGCCACACUGGGACUGAGACACGGCCCAGACUCCUACGGGAGGCAGCAGUGGGGAAUAUUGCACAAUGGGCGCAAGCCUGAUGCAGCCAUGCCGCGUGUGUGAAGAAGGCCUUCGGGUUGUAAAGCACUUUCAGUCAGGAGGAAAGGUUAGUAGUUAAUACCUGCUAGCUGUGACGUUACUGACAGAAGAAGCA
This 481-nucleotide ribosomal RNA is filed under the name Pseudoalteromonas sp. 1409. Its description in RNAcentral is "bacterial SSU rRNA". It matches the Rfam family "Bacterial small subunit ribosomal RNA", at positions 16 to 492 of the family's 1533-position model. Lineage: Bacteria; Pseudomonadati; Pseudomonadota; Gammaproteobacteria; Alteromonadales; Pseudoalteromonadaceae. The record is from RNAcentral.